GUGCAGCAGGCGAGAAUACUUUACAAUGUGCGAAAGCACGAUAAGGGAACUCUGAGUGCCUCCUAAGGAGGCUGUUCAGGUGUCUAAAAGCACCUGGAGUAAGGGCUGGGUAAGACCGGUGCCAGCCGCCGCGGUAACACCGGCAGCCCAGGUGGUAGCCACUUUUAUUGGGUCUAAAGCGUCCGUAGCCGGUUGAGUAAGUUCCUUGGGAAAUUUGGCUGCUCAACAGUCAAGCUUCCAGGGAAUACUGCUCGACUUGGGGACUGGGAGAGGUCAGAGGUACUCCAGGGGUAGGGUGAAAAUCCAUUAAUCCCUGGGGGACCACCGGUAGCGAAGGCGUCUGACCAGACCAGGUCCGACGGUGAGGGACGAAGGCUAGGGGCGCGAACCGGAUUAGAUA
RNAcentral lists this ribosomal RNA (400 nucleotides) under uncultured microorganism. Its description in RNAcentral is "bacterial SSU rRNA". It matches the Rfam family "Archaeal small subunit ribosomal RNA", at positions 330 to 735 of the family's 1478-position model. The record is from RNAcentral.